CCUACGGGUGGCUGCAGUGGGGAAUAUUGGGCAAUGGGCGCAAGCCUGACCCAGCAAUGCCGCGUGGGUGAAGAAGGUCUUCGGAUUGUAAAGCCCUUUCGGCGGGGACGAUGGUGACGGUACCCGCAGAAGAAGCCCCGGCCAACUUCGUGCCAGCAGCCGCGGUAAUACGAAGGGGGCUAGCGUUGCUCGGAAUCACUGGGCGUAAAGGGCGCGUAGGCGGCCCCGCCAGUCGGGCGUGAAAUCCCCGGGCUCAACCCGGGGGCUGCGCCCGA
RNAcentral lists this ribosomal RNA (275 nucleotides) under uncultured bacterium. RNAcentral describes it as "partial 16S ribosomal RNA". It matches the Rfam family "Bacterial small subunit ribosomal RNA", at positions 338 to 630 of the family's 1533-position model. The record is from RNAcentral.